GACGAACGCUGGCGGCGUGCCUAAUACAUGCAAGUCGAGCGAAUCUGAUGGGAGCUUGCUCCUUGAUGAUUAGCGGCGGACGGGUGAGUAACACGUGGGUAACCUGCCUGUAAGACUGGGAUAACUCCGGGAAACCGGGGCUAAUACCGGAUAACUUUUUUCUUCGCAUGAGGGAGAAUUGAAAGAUGGCUUCGGCUAUCACUUACAGAUGGACCCGCGGCGCAUUAGCUAGUUGGUGAGGUAACGGCUCACCAAGGCGACGAUGCGUAGCCGACUUGAGAGGGUGAUCGGCCACACUGGGACUGAGACACGGCCCAGACUCCUACGGGAGGCAGCAGUAGGGAAUCGUCCGCAAUGGACGAAAGUCUGACGGAGCAACGCCGCGGGAGGGAUGAAGGUUGUCGGAUCGUAAAACUCGGUUGUUAGGGAAGAACAAGUAUCGUUCGAAUAGGGCGGUACCUUGACGGUACCUAACCAGAAAGCCACGGCUAACUACGUG
RNAcentral lists this ribosomal RNA (499 nucleotides) under uncultured bacterium. Its description in RNAcentral is "partial 16S ribosomal RNA". It matches the Rfam family "Bacterial small subunit ribosomal RNA", at positions 28 to 507 of the family's 1533-position model. The record is from RNAcentral.